GGGGUGUGUGUGUGUGUGUGUGUGUGUGUGUGUGUGUGUGAGUGUGUAGGCGGUGGGGGACAAGGUCUGGUUUGUCAUCCACAAGGCCCAGCCCAGG
This 97-nucleotide microRNA precursor is filed under the name Tursiops truncatus (common bottlenose dolphin). RNAcentral's name for it is "miRNA (ENSTTRG00000023681.1)". Lineage: Eukaryota; Metazoa; Chordata; Mammalia; Artiodactyla; Delphinidae. The record is from RNAcentral.